Molecule: ribosomal RNA, 216 nt
Filed under: uncultured bacterium
Lineage: Bacteria
Description: partial 16S ribosomal RNA
Rfam family: Bacterial small subunit ribosomal RNA
Source: RNAcentral
GCAAGUCGAAUGGGUUUAGACCCAUGGCAGACGAGGUAGGAACACGUAGGUACAUACCGGAAAGUCGGGGAUAACCUGGAGAAAUCCAGAAUAAUACUCGAUGGUCCCUUCGGGGUAAAGAUUUAUCGCUUUCUGAAUGGCCUGCGUUCUAUCAGCUUGUUGGUAAGGUAACGGCUUACCAAGGCUACGACGGAUAGGGGAGGUGAGAGCCUGACC